GUGAAAGCCCGGGGCUCAACCUCGGAACCGCAUUUGAAACUGGCAGGCUAGAGUCUUGUACAGGGGGGUAGAAUUUCAGGUGUAGCGGUGAAAUGCGUAGAGAUCUGAAGGAAUACCAGUGGCGAAGGCGGCCCCCUGGACAAAGACUGACGCUCAGAUGCGAAAGCGUGGGUAGCAAACAGGAUUAGAUACCCUGGUAGUCCACGCCGUAAACGCUGUCUACUUGGAGGUUGAGGUUUAAGACUUUGGCUUUCGGCGCUAACGCAUUAAGUAGACCGCCUGGGGAGUACGGCCGCAAGGUUAAAACUCAAAUGAAUUGACGGGGGCCCGCACAAGCGGUGGAGCAUGUGGUUUAAUUCGAUGCAACGCGAAGAACCUUACCUACUCUUGACAUCCAGAGAACUUUCCAGAGAUGGAUUGGUGCCUUCGGGAACUCUGAGACAGGUGCUGCAUGGCUGUCGUCAGCUCGUGUUGUGAAAUGUUGGGUUAAGUCCCGCAACGAGCGCAACCCUUAUCCUUGUUUGCCAGCACGUAAUGGUGGGAACUCCAGGGAGACUGCCAGUGAUAAACCGGAGGAAGGUGGGGACGACGUCAAGUCAUCAUGGCCCUUACGAGUAGGGCUACACACGUGCUACAAUGGCAGAUACAGAGGGCAGCGAAGCUGCGAAGUGGAGCGAAUCCCUUAAAGUUUGUCGUAGUCCGGAUUGGAGUCUGCAACUCGACUCCAU
Molecule: ribosomal RNA, 728 nt
Filed under: uncultured Salinivibrio sp.
Lineage: Bacteria; Pseudomonadati; Pseudomonadota; Gammaproteobacteria; Vibrionales; Vibrionaceae
Description: bacterial SSU rRNA
Rfam family: Bacterial small subunit ribosomal RNA
Source: RNAcentral